CUACGGGAGGCAGCAGUAAGGAAUCUUCCACAAUGGACGAAAGUCUGAUGGAGCAACGCCGCGUGCAGGAUGAAGGCUUUCGGGUCGUAAACUGCUUUUAUAUGGGAAGAUUAUGACGGUACCAUAUGAAUAAGGACCGGCUAACUACGUGCCAGCAGCCGCGGUAAUACGUAGGGUCCAAGCGAUAUCCGGAAUUACUGGGCGUAAAGCGUGUGUAGGUGGAUUAAUAAGUGUGAUGCGAAAUCCGGCGGCUCAACCGUUUGGACUGUGUCGCAUACUGUUAGUCUAGAGGACGGCAGAGGUAAGUGGAAUUACGGGUGUAGCAGUGAAAUGCGUAGAUAUCCGUAGGAACACCAAUGGCGAAGGCAGCUUACUGGGCCACACCUGACACUGAGACACGAAAGCGUGGGGAGCGAACAGGAUUAGAUACCCUGGUAGUCCACGCCGUAAACGAUGCAUACUAUUAGUAUGGGGUAUCGACCCCCUGUGCUGAGAAGCUAACGCGAUAAGUAUGCCGCCGNGGAGGUAGAGCGCGAGAACGUAAACGUACGAAAGAAGUAGUUAGGCGUGAGAGNGCGACGGACGACGACGAGGGAGGAGG
This 601-nucleotide ribosomal RNA is filed under the name uncultured bacterium. RNAcentral describes it as "bacterial SSU rRNA". The stretch from base 1 to 519 matches the Rfam family "Bacterial small subunit ribosomal RNA", at positions 339 to 873 of the family's 1533-position model. The record is from RNAcentral.